Molecule: long non-coding RNA, 659 nt
Filed under: Zostera marina
Lineage: Eukaryota; Viridiplantae; Streptophyta; Magnoliopsida; Alismatales; Zosteraceae
Description: long non-coding RNA (ZMAR_LNC000584)
Source: RNAcentral
UGGAAUUGAUUACAAACAGCUUGCAGUUAUGACAGAAGGUUAUAGUGGAAGUGAUCUGAAGGUAUAUAUAUGGUGUGAAUCAAUAUAUGUUAUGGUAUAGUAAAUUAAAAUCUUGUAGAGUGAAUUUUUAUUGAAUUUAAUUGCAGAAUUUAUGUACAACAGCAGCAUAUCGACCUGUUAGGGAAUUUAUUCAGAUGGAGAGAAAAAAUGAAGAGGUUAGAUUUAUACAGACAUAUUGCUUUAAUUGUUUAUUCUUAUUUUCUUAUAUCCAUUUUUUUGUAUUCCACAGGUUCCAAAUUUCGAAUAAAUCACGUUUUUAUUCUCUUGUUUAUUAUUUGCAGAAAAAGAAGGAAAAAUCCGAGAAUUCAGAAACUGAGAAUUCAGAAGCUGAGAAUUCAGAAAUCAAAAUCCGGGAAUUAAGCAUGGAAGACUUGAGACAGGCAAAGAACCAGGUCAUUUAUCUCUCUUCUAUUCAUUACUAAUACAUGCAUACAUGCAGCUGUGAAAAUAUUGAAAUAGAGAACGAUUCAUGUAACAUACCUUUAGAUAACAUCUCAUGUAGAACGAUUUGUGAAUACAUUGCAUGUUGUCUCAAUCUCGAGAUUCUACUCCUAUUGAAAUAACCCAAGAUGAUCGAAAUUACUUGAGAUAUAUUGUGA